CUGCCUCACCUGGGGCACAUGGAAGUUCCCAGGCUAGGGGUCAAAUCAGAGCUGCAGCUGAGGGCUAUGCCACAGCAAUACAGGAUACAAGCCAUAUAUGUGACCUACACCACAGUUUGCAGCAAUGCUGGAUCCUUAACCCACUGAGUGAGGGCAGGGAUUGAACUCGUAUCCUCAUGGACCUAUGUCAGGUUCUUAACCCACUGAGCUCCAAUAGGAACUCCACAAAGUUGAAUCUUAAAUGAAAAUUUGUUUAACUGAGGUUAACAUGUAUGGAGUAUAUAUGAGGUUGGGUGGUAAGGGAGAAGGCUAUCAGAGAUAUUCCUGAAGCAGUAUGCAAUGGCCCAAUAACAAAAAUCCUGUAUGUCCUCUAAAGAGAGCACGAUAUAUAUCUUAUAAACAACAGAAACCUUUGAAAAAUCACAGGACCAUAGGUUUCCAUAAUAUCUAAACAAUGUACACACUUGGCUUUGUUCAACAAUGGUCAAACUAACAUUUCAUAUUUCAUUAUGUAUCUGACAAAAAAUUAACAUCACCAUUUUGGCCAACCUGUCUUAUAAUAAUGGGUAAAUGUUCUCCCAAAACAAGGGUCUCAGCCUCUAGCAAAAUUGAGCAGCAAUUCUACUACCUGAAGAGUAGGGCAGACACUAAAGAUACACCAAGUUUACCAAGGAAGCAUCAUCAAGAUUCUACUUGAAGAAUUCAUAGAUGCAUUUGUAUACACAAACAACAUCAAGUACAUAUAAUAUGUAGACAGCCUGUCAAAAGUUAUGUCCCCGUAAACUCACAAAAGUAAAUGUUAUACACAGACACAUCAUGGUACACCUCAAUCAGUAGUAUAAAAUCACUGUGAACUAGUCAGACUAUGCUUCAAAAGUAAAGCAGCCCAGUCUUAAGUUACAUAUAUAAAAGCUUCAUGCAGCUUAACACCACAUUUAUAAACUGGAGCUUUGCCCAGAAGGUCUGAGGUCAGGUAGUCCAAGGUUGGAUUCCAAAUUACUGAACUUAUAUAAAUUACUGAACUCUUUGAGUCUUAGUUUCCUUAUCUAUAAACCUGGGAUAAUUAUUUCUGCCCUAUAAUAAUGUUGUAAAGAUACAAUAAGAUAUAGAAAGCACUUAGCAUAGGGCUGAGCAAAUAUUAAUUAUUCAAGAAAUGGUGUCUUAUCAUAAUAGAUAGAACAGAAAUUAUCCUAGUUAUGACACUCAUGGGGGUUUUUGUUUGUUUGUUUUGGGGGGGGGUUGGGGUUUUUUUUUGGCUUUUUAUGGCUGCAUCCAUGGCAUAUGAAGGUUUCCAAGCUAGGGGUCAAAUCGGAGCUACAACUGCCAGCCUAUACCCAAGCCACAGUAACGCAGGAUCCAAGCUGCGUCUGCAAC
Molecule: long non-coding RNA, 1374 nt
Filed under: Sus scrofa (pig)
Lineage: Eukaryota; Metazoa; Chordata; Mammalia; Artiodactyla; Suidae
Description: lncRNA (ENSSSCG00000061218.1, ENSSSCG00180023208.1)
Source: RNAcentral